AGCAGCCGCGGUAAUUCCAGCUCCAAUAGCGUAUAUUAAAGUUGUUGCAGUUAAAAAGCUCGUAGUUGAAUUUCGGGGUUAGUAGGUUGGUCAUGCCUCUGGUAUGUACUGGUCUCACUGAUUCCUCCUUCCUUAUGAACCGUAAUGCCAUUAAUUUGGUGUUGCGGGGAAUUUGGACUGUUACUUUGAAAAAAUUAGAGUGUUUAAAGCAGGCUAACGCUUGAAUACAUUAGCAUGGAAUAAUGAAAUAGGACGUUCGAUCUUAUUUUGUUGGUUUCUAGGAUUGACGUAAUGAUUAAUAGGGAUAGUUGGGGGCAUUAGUAUUCAAUUGUCAGAGGUGAAAUUCUUGGAUUUAUUGAAGACUAACUACUGCGAAAGCAUUUGCCAAGGAUGUUUUCAUUAAUCAAGAACGAAAGUUAGGGGAUCGAAGACGAUCAGAUACCGUCGUAGUCUUAACCAUAAACUAUGCCGACUAGGGAUCGGAUGAUGUUAAAAAAAUGACGCGCUCGGCACCUCAUG
This 519-nucleotide ribosomal RNA is filed under the name uncultured Glomeromycotina. Its description in RNAcentral is "SSU rRNA". It matches the Rfam family "Eukaryotic small subunit ribosomal RNA", at positions 569 to 1092 of the family's 1831-position model. The record is from RNAcentral. Lineage: Eukaryota; Fungi; Glomeromycota.